GACGAACGCUGGCGGCGUGCCUAAUACAUGCAAGUAGGACGCAGUUGCGAACGGGUGAGUAACGCGUAGGUAACUGCCUAUUAGAGGGGGAUAACUAUUGGAAACGAUAGCUAAUACCGCAUACUAGUAGAUGGACCUGCGUUGUAUUAGCUAGUAGGUUGGGUAAUGGCCUACCUAGGCGACGUUACAUAGCCGGCCUGGGAGGGGGAUCGGCCACCCUGGGACUGGGACACGGCCCAGACUCCUUCGGGCAGGAGCAGGGGGGGAUCUUCGGCAAUGGGGGGAACCCUGGCCGGGCAACGCCGCGUGAGUGAAGAAGGUUUUCGGAUCGGAAAGCUCUGUUGUUAAGGAAGCGGUACUUAACCAGAAAGGGACGGCUAACUACGUGCCAGCCGCCGCGGUAAUAC
This 407-nucleotide ribosomal RNA is filed under the name uncultured bacterium. Its description in RNAcentral is "partial 16S ribosomal RNA". It matches the Rfam family "Bacterial small subunit ribosomal RNA", at positions 28 to 526 of the family's 1533-position model. The record is from RNAcentral.